Molecule: ribosomal RNA, 497 nt
Filed under: uncultured bacterium
Lineage: Bacteria
Description: partial 16S ribosomal RNA
Rfam family: Bacterial small subunit ribosomal RNA
Source: RNAcentral
GAUGAACGCUGGCGGCGUGCCUAAUACAUGCAAGUCGAGCGAACAGACGAGGAGCUUGCUCCUCUGACGUUAGCGGCGGACGGGUGAGUAACACGUGGAUAACCUACCUAUAAGACUGGGAUAACUUCGGGAAACCGGAGCUAAUACCGGAUAACAUGUUGAACCGCAUGGUUCAACAGUGAAAGACGGUCUUGCUGUCACUUAUAGAUGGAUCCGCGCCGCAUUAGAUAGUUGGUAAGGUAACGGCUUACCAAGGCAACGAUGCGUAGCCGACGUGAGAGAGGGAUAGGCGACCCGAGAGGUGAGCCACGGUCAAGACUACUACGAGAGGCAGCAGUAGGGAAUCUUACGCAGUAGGCGAAAGUCUGACGGAGCAGCGCGGCGUGUGUGAAGGAGGUGCUCGGUUCGUAAUACUCUGUUAUGAGGGAAGAACAGAUGUGUCAGUAGCUAAGCCCGGCUUGACGGUAACUAGUAAGAAAGCCACGGCUAACUACGUG